This 433-nucleotide ribosomal RNA is filed under the name uncultured bacterium. Its description in RNAcentral is "partial 16S ribosomal RNA". It matches the Rfam family "Bacterial small subunit ribosomal RNA", at positions 29 to 507 of the family's 1533-position model. The record is from RNAcentral.
AACGAACGCUGGCGGCAUGCCUAACACAUGCAAGUCGAACGAGACCUUCGGGUCUAGUGGCGCACGGGUGCGUAACGCGUGGGAACCUGCCCUUAGGUUCGGAAUAACUCCCCGAAAGGGGUGCUAAUACCGGAUAAUGUCUUCGGACCAAAGAUUUAUCGCCUUUGGAUGGGCCCGCGUUGGAUUAGCUAGUUGGUAGGGUAAAAGCCUACCAAGGCGACGAUCCAUAGCUGGUCUGAGAGGAUGAUCAGCCACACUGGGACUGCGACACGGCCCAGACUCCUACGGGAGGCAGCAGUGGGGAAUAUUGGACAAUGGGCGAAAGCCUGAUCAAGCAAUGCCGCGUGAGUGAUGAAGGCCUUAGGGUUGUAAAGCUCUUUUACCCGGGAUGAUAAUGACAGUACCGGGAGAAUAAGCUCCGGCUAACUCCGUG